GUGAAAAAAGUUUAAGUAGCAUUCUAAUAAAUACUGAUUUCUUGGAUUUUGUUUUAUGAAAUUUUGCUAUCACUUUUCAUCCAUUCGGACACCAGAUCAAACUACCCAAUAUUCUUGAAAAGAAAAUUAAGAUUAUAAUAACGGGAUUUUUGAAGUAUGAAAUGUAGAUUAAAACAUUGAAUAAAAUUUGUCACAAACCGUAGAUAUUCGAUUCAUAAUGCCUGCCUAUAAACUU
This is a non-coding RNA of Schizosaccharomyces pombe (fission yeast), 235 nucleotides long. NCBI's taxonomy places the organism in Eukaryota, Fungi, Ascomycota, Schizosaccharomycetes, Schizosaccharomycetales, Schizosaccharomycetaceae. The record is from the annotation of a GenBank genome assembly.